Long non-coding RNA from Venturia canescens, 2199 nucleotides. RefSeq lists it as uncharacterized. Lineage: Eukaryota; Metazoa; Arthropoda; Insecta; Hymenoptera; Ichneumonidae. The transcript has 2 exons. The record is from RefSeq and is a predicted model, not a curated record.
ACGAGCAUGGGAAUAGGGCUUGUGCAAUGAUUAGAGUUGGACAUUUGAUGUGGUUUAAAAUAAGGCGGAGUUAGUUAGAUGAAGGGCAAUCGUAUCUAAGACUUACACUUUCUGCUCUGCUGGGACAUACUUCUCGAAACACUUGUUCAAUGAGUGGUUGCCUGUGAAAAGAAAGAAAACAAUUUAUUUAAAGACAAUGAAAGCGAAGAAUAUGUGAACAGCAUAAAACGAGUGCCCGAAAUAUUUCGUUCGGUAGAAUAAAAUAGUAAAUGAAACAUAAAUAAGGAAGGAAUAGAGUGUAAUUUUGAGAUGAAAUUUUUCAUGGUCACGUUCGAUCGAAUUAUCGUAUUGCGCGAGGAAAAUCUAAUUAUGUAUAUUGGAAUCAAGCCAAGUUUUAAUAGACUGUCGAGGCUUUGUGUUUAAAGAGGUAGUUGGAUAGUUUAACCUUCGCCCAAAAUUCAUUACGUAAACGUUUAAAAAGAUCCGGGAGAGUGGGAAGGAAAAUUUGUUCGGUAUUAGCCGGAUGAAUAUCUUGGCUUACCGCGGAUAAUUCGUCGUUGGACUUGCUACGAAAUCACCUUCAAAGAAAGUUCAUCGGUAAGCAAAUUUUUUAAACGGAGCUCGUGGGAAAAAAAGAAAAAUCUUACUUUGCAAAAAGACCACCACCCGGAGGCAGAUUCGGUAGCUCUUGGUCCGCAAGAAGCUGGAACAGUUGAAGAUAAUUGAAGGCAGCUUCACCUUCCUGCUGUGCGACGAUUUCUGUUGGAAAUAAAAAUAUAGCAAAGUUAGUUUAUUAUUUUCAUCUGUUGCUCCACAAUUCAUGUAUGUGCUAAUUGAUAAAAGGGAGACAUUGCAUAUUUAACCGUGAUUGAGUGUAUUAAUCGUGGAACAGUGUAUUUUCAUUUAAAUAAUCAUACAAAAAUAUUCAAUAAUUAUCGCAAAUAGAAAAAUAAAACAUUUGGGAAAGAUUGGGGGAAUUAUUUCGUUCAAUAAUGUCUUCGAAACGAUUGGGCUUUUUUUUUCCAUCUGUUGGGAUGUGAAUGAUAAAAAAAAAGUGUAUUUAUAAAGUUUUCGUAACGUAGCCGGUAAGUUUAUAAUAAUCAGUAUGCAGUGAUAAAAUUGUAUCAAGUGCUUUCGAGGAGUCUUAUUCCUGGUUAUCAUGGGCAAACGAGAUAUCAGCCGAUUCAUAAAUGAACUUACUGUUCAAUGUAAAUAACAAAAAAAAACGAAGAUUUUCUUAAAAUAUCGUAAAUUGAAGAGUAAAAAAAAAUAUUUACGUAUAAACGAUUACGAAAUUCUAAUCAAUAUAUACAAAACAUGCAGCUACUUUCGGAAUUUGAACUCUGUUCAAACGUUUACUCACACUACAUUUCUUAUGGACAUAUCUUAAAAGUUUAAAGUCUCGCAAUAGAAUUCGAAUGUUUUUUUUUCUCACUUUAUAAUUGCCGAUCCUUAACAACACGUGACUAAUUGGUCCACCUGUGGAAUUGUCUGUACUCGAAUAGCAAUCGUCUCUCGAAUUUUUAUUCAAUAUCUUUUUCAUUGAUUUUACACCAAGUUAUUUAAUCUCGAGCGAAUAACGGCAAUCGCACAAUGAAUCUCCAUAAGAAAUGCAUUGCCGUUAAACUACUGAGAAGAGGUAAAAGGGAAAUUGCAAGAAAAAAAAUCUAGUGUGUUGUAAACAAGUUUGCACCUACCUGUGGCGCCUUCUAAACUAUUCUCUCUUUUUUUUUUUAAUCAACAGAAAUAAAAGCAUGUGACUUUCAUAAAAGUUUCUAAAUUCUUUUUUUUUUUUCAUUGCGUUUCUAUACUGAGAAACGGUAUGACAACUCCAAUGGUGGACCUAUUUUUCAUUAUUUCGUUUUGUCUUUAAUUUCUUUACUACUAUUUGUAUCGCACGUUCAUUUUACGAAAAAAGAACAAUAAUGAAUGAAUGGAAAUGUGUAAUCAGCGCCAAAAUAAUCGGAAUACAGAAUUUAUUGCAAGUAUUUUUGCACAAUCAGCUAUUGCCUUUUUAUGUUACUUUUCUAAGCUUUGUACCAAGUUUUUUUUUCUCUUAUUACUAUCUUAGUUCUAAAAUCUAAAUGACGAUGAAAGUUUUCGACAGGACAACACAUCGACGGUAUGACAACAAUGUCUUUUGUUUUUCUAUUUCUCUAUCAUGUAUUGGUACAAUAAAGUAAUGAUUUACUGACGACA